CGCUCUGGAGGCGUGUUUAGUGUCCGUGAGCCGCUCUGGAGGCGUGUUUAGUGUCCGUGAGCCGCUCUGGAGGCGUGUUUAGUGUCCGUGUGCCGCUCUGGAGGCGUGUUUAGUGUCCGUGUGCCGCUCUGGAGGUGUGUUUAGUGUCCGUGAGCCCCUCUGGAGAUGUGUUUAGUGUCCGUGUGCCGCUCUGGAGGUGUGUUUAGUGUCCGUGUGCCGCUCUGGAGGUGUGUUUAGUGUCCGUGUGCCGCUCUGGAGGUGUGUUUAGUGUCCGUGUGCCGCUCUGGAGGUGUGUUUAGUGUCCGUGUGCCGCUCUGGAGGUGUGUUUAGUGUCCGUGAGCCGCUCUGGAUGCAUGUUUAGUGUCCGUGUGCCGCUCUGGAGGCGUGUUUAGUGUCCGUGAGCCGCUCUGGAGGCGUGUUUAGUGUCCGUGAGCCGCUCUGGAGGCGUGUUUAGUGUCUGUCUGCCGCUCUGGAGGCGUGUUUAGUGUCUGUGUGCCACACUAAAGGUCAUCCGCUGGAGGAGAUACUCACAGGUUUGUGUAGUCUGCCUGCUACAUACAGGGUUUUCCAGUGGAGCAGGUCUUCG
Molecule: long non-coding RNA, 586 nt
Organism: Carassius gibelio (silver crucian carp)
Lineage: Eukaryota; Metazoa; Chordata; Actinopteri; Cypriniformes; Cyprinidae
Exons: 5
Source: RefSeq, a predicted model, not a curated record